Long non-coding RNA from Xiphias gladius (swordfish), 808 nucleotides. RefSeq lists it as uncharacterized. The transcript has 3 exons. The record is from RefSeq and is a predicted model, not a curated record. NCBI's taxonomy places the organism in Eukaryota, Metazoa, Chordata, Actinopteri, Istiophoriformes, Xiphiidae.
GCUGCCCCGAGCCUCAAAGGGAGUGUCAGCGCUGAAGAAUGCCUCGCCCUCCUCCUCCUCCUGCUCCGCUCGCCAGGAUUCAGCCGCCGUCCAGCCGGCUGACAGCUUCCCCACCACAACGCCUGGCGACUGAAGGGACCACACACACUCCAUGUUCUCCAUGCCUGGGUCGAAACUACACAACACUCGUAUCUGUGUCUGUGGAGGCCACAGCUCGAAGGAAGCAAUUCAGAAUCCUGAACGACUUCUAGGUCUCGUUUCUGUGGAGUUCGGAUGCACGUGUUGCAAAAUCCUUUGGACAAACGAAUGUCAAAUGCAAGUGACGUAAUGCAACUUUCGUUUCCAAACCUGGCUGCUCCUUCAGAUGAAAACUUCCCGCUAGCUGUAGAAGGCUUCCACCGGGAAGCAGCUUCAGGAGAUGUUGACUCCGUCACAGAGAAACCAGCCGCUAAUUCCCUCUUGCAUCUAAAUUUGGAUGUUUUUCUGUAGUUUUGUGUCAGUGGCUCAUUCUUUGUUACAGUGCAGGGAAGAAUUUUAGGCUGCAGUGAGCUGAUAAGAUGAAGAGCUGCAGACGACAGAGGCUGAACUGCAGUUUGUUUUGUUUCUUGUAACAUUAGUCUGGUUUCCUUGUUGAGCGAAUGAGUGGACUUGUUAUCAGAGCUAUCAGGGGUAUCAUUAGAAAUGGUUUAAUUCCUGUAGUGAUACAAUACCCGAAGAUAUUUGAGGAUAUAAUGUUCUGAUGUAACAAUAUAAAUGUUUUAACAUGUAUACGUGUGUUUUUCUACAAAAACACAAAGAGGGCAACAUU